AACGAACGCUGGCGGCAUGCCUAACACAUGCAAGUCGAACGAGACCUUCGGGUCUAUUUGCGCACUGGUUCGUCACGCGACGGAACCUUCCCGCAUGUUCGGAAUAACUCCCCGCAAGGGGUGCUAAUACCGGAUAAAUUCUUCUACCCAAAGAUUUAUUGCCUCGGGAUGGGGCCGCGUUGGAUUAGCUAUUUGGUAGGGUAAAAGCCUACCAAGGCUACGAUGCAUAGCUGGUCUGAGAGGAUGAUCAGCCACACUGGGGGUGAGACACGGCCCGGACUCCUACGGAAGGCAGCAGUGGGGAAUAUUGAACGAUGGGCGAAAGCCUGAUCCAGCAAGGUCGCGAGAGUGAGGAAGGCCUUAAGGUUGUAAAGCACUUUUAACCGGGAAGAUAAUGACGGUACCGAGAGAAUAAGCUCCGGCUAACUACGUG
RNAcentral lists this ribosomal RNA (433 nucleotides) under uncultured bacterium. RNAcentral describes it as "partial 16S ribosomal RNA". It matches the Rfam family "Bacterial small subunit ribosomal RNA", at positions 29 to 507 of the family's 1533-position model. The record is from RNAcentral.